CUAACGAGGAUUUCCCGAGUAACAGCGAGUGAAAAGGAAAGAGCCCAGCGCUGAAUCCAGUAGAUAACCAUGUACACUAUAUGGAAAUGUAGCGUAUAGGUAUGGUCGAUCGUCACGUACUGCUACACCCAAAGUCCCCUUGAGCGGGGCUACAGUCCAUAGAAGGUGCUAGACCUGUACGGGUGCAGUGGCGUUACGAAGGAUUAUACUUUGGAGUCGGGUUGCUUGAGAUUGCAGCCUAAAGAGGGUGGUAAACCUCAUCUAAGGCUAAAUACGACCACGAGACCGAUAGCAAACAAGUACCGUGAGGGAAAGUUGCAAAGAACUUUGAAGAGAGAGUUCAAGAGGGCGUGAAACCGCUGGGAUGGAAACGGAUAGAGUUAACGAAACUUGCCGGUAUUCAACCAUUCAAUUUAGCAACUCUUGCACGCGUUCAUGCACGUUGCGUGCGUGCUCGUUUGUAGGAGCUUGAAGUGSUAAAUUUAGAUUGGUGUAUUUACCGGUGGUAUGCAUCGAGAGCUUCGUUUACAGCAUAUUUAAGAGUUAUUUAGUGGACUAGUUAUUGAAAAUGUAAUAGCUGGAAUCAUAAAUGACACCUGAAAUAUGUCUUAGAUGAAGUGUGUGUUCUCUUGCGCUCGCAUAAUAUGCGCCUAUACUCUCUACUAGUUAUGCAUAUACAUGUGGUCGCUUGCGCGACUUGAUCAGUUGAUACUGAUUGGUGGAGUUGUAUAGGGUGUAUGUUGCGCGUGUAACGGCAACAACGUUWCACGGUACAUCUCGGUGUGAACGUUAAUCACCUAUCUGACCCGUCUUGAAACACGGACCAAGGAGU
This 832-nucleotide ribosomal RNA is filed under the name Litomosoides sigmodontis. Its description in RNAcentral is "eukaryotic LSU rRNA". It matches the Rfam family "Eukaryotic large subunit ribosomal RNA", at positions 65 to 674 of the family's 3401-position model. Lineage: Eukaryota; Metazoa; Nematoda; Chromadorea; Rhabditida; Onchocercidae. The record is from RNAcentral.